Molecule: long non-coding RNA, 798 nt
Organism: Cyprinus carpio (common carp)
Lineage: Eukaryota; Metazoa; Chordata; Actinopteri; Cypriniformes; Cyprinidae
Source: Ensembl
CUUUGGCUGGUAAGAAAAAGAAGAGGUGUAAAGAUACUCUCCAAGAUGCCAGAACCAACUGAAGUGAUGAUAACCACGCCAUUUUACCAGCAACAGCAGAAUGAAAUCUCCAAGUUCCUGAAGAUCAAGCCACUGGCUUUGGGGAUUUUGGAAAUAUUGAUAGCCUUAUUGAAACUCGGUUUGACAAUCUGGAAUAAGAGUUUUUUCGUUAUCUGGUCACCAUUCAUUUACAUCGUAAUUGGAGCUAUAACAGUCUCGGCUGCACACACAUGUAAACCGCGUCUGGUCAAAUCCUCACAAAUGCUCAGCUAUGUAAAUGUUGCAGUAGUUUCUUUCUCCCUCCGCACUCACUUUAUUUUAGUUGGGGUUACUCCAGAUGUGUCCUCCUAUGUCCCUGUCAUCUGUGAUAUUCUGAUCUUCAUCUUCUCUCUUGCUGUUGCUGUAACCGCCUGUUCCUGUUGCUGCAGACCAAAGUCAACCCCUGUCAUAAUCAGUUAUGAGACCACAGAUUUGCCUGCCAACCACAUCAUGCAGAUGGGCCAGCCGGACUCCUCUGCAGUGGCCCAGCCGGUUAGUUCAGCCAUGUACGUCCUGCCAGCAGCACACGGCUCAGUCCCACCUGUGCCUCUGCCAAAUUACAGUCACGUCCCCAGUGCAUCUCCACCAAUGUACAGUCCAGUACCAACUACACCUCCAUCCAGCUACGACAAAGUCUCAGAUGCACUUCCACCAAACUACUCUCCAGUCCCAAGUACCCCUCUACCAGCAUAUGAGGGGAGAAGUUUUUUUUCCUACUAG